CCUACGGGUGGCUGCAGUGGGGAAUAUUGGACAAUGGGCGAAAGCCUGAUCCAGCCAUGCCGCGUGUGUGAAGAAGGCCUUCGGGUUGUAAAGCACUUUCAGUGGGGAAGAAAGCCUUGGGGCUAAUACCCUCGAGGAAGGACAUCACCCACAGAAGAAGCACCGGCUAACUCCGUGCCAGCAGCCGCGGUAAUACGGAGGGUGCGAGCGUUAAUCGGAAUUACUGGGCGUAAAGCGCGCGUAGGCGGUCUGAUAAGCCGGUUGUGAAAGCCCCGGGCUCAACCUGGGAACGGCAUCCGGAACUGUCAGGCUAGAGUGCAGGAGAGGAAGGUAGAAUUCCCGGUGUAGCGGUGAAAUGCGUAGAGAUCGGGAGGAAUACCAGUGGCGAAGGCGGCCUUCUGGACUGACACUGACGCUGAGGUGCGAAAGCGUGGGUAGCAAACAGGAUUUGAUACCCCGGUAGUC
Molecule: ribosomal RNA, 465 nt
Filed under: Vreelandella stevensii
Lineage: Bacteria; Pseudomonadati; Pseudomonadota; Gammaproteobacteria; Oceanospirillales; Halomonadaceae
Description: partial 16S ribosomal RNA
Rfam family: Bacterial small subunit ribosomal RNA
Source: RNAcentral